This 486-nucleotide ribosomal RNA is filed under the name uncultured bacterium. RNAcentral describes it as "bacterial SSU rRNA". It matches the Rfam family "Bacterial small subunit ribosomal RNA", at positions 28 to 525 of the family's 1533-position model. The record is from RNAcentral.
AAUGAACGUUGGCGGCGUGGAUUAGGCAUGCAAGUCGGACGCCCCUCGGGGGCGUGGCGAAAGGGUGAGUAAGGCGACGGCAACCAACCCCGCGGAGGGGGACAGCCACGGGAAACUGUGGGUAAUCCCCCAUGACGCCCGGGAGGGACAUCCUUCCCAGGCCAAAGGUGCGACUCCGCCGCGGGUGGGGCCGUCGUGGUAUCAGGUCGUUGGUGGGGUGACGGCCCACCAAGCCGAUGACGCCUAGCGGGCGUGCGAGCGUGGCCCGCCACACUGGGACUGAGACACUGCCCAGACACCUACGGGUGGCUGCAGUCGAGAAUCUUCGGCAAUGGUCGACAGACUGACCGAGCGACGCCGCGUGGAGGACGAAGGCCUUCGGGUUGUAAACUCCUGUCGAGGGGGAACAAGGGCCGGUGCAGAGCCGGCCUUGAGUGAUCCCUGGAGGAAGCACGGGCUAAGUUCGUGCCAGCAGCCGCCGUAAAA